RNAcentral lists this long non-coding RNA (3113 nucleotides) under Homo sapiens (human). RNAcentral describes it as "HSALNT0271423". The record is from RNAcentral. Lineage: Eukaryota; Metazoa; Chordata; Mammalia; Primates; Hominidae.
CAGGACUUAAUUAACCUCACGUUCAAGGUGUACAAUAAUAGAGUAGAGGCAGCCAAGUAGCAAUGUAUUUCUGAGUUGCAAUUCCUUGCCUCCACUGUGAGACAAACCCCAGCCACAACUCCAGCACACAAGAACUCCAAACACCUGAACCGCAGCUGCCAGGGGUUCCUCCAGAACCUCCUCCCCCAGGAGCUUGCUACAAGGGCUGGAAAUCUGGCCACUGGGCCAAGGAAUGCCCACAGCCUGGGAUUCCUCCUAAGCCAUGUCCCAUCUGUGUGGGAUGCCACUGAAAAUAGGACUGUUCAACUCACCUGGCAGCCACUUCCAGAGCCCCUGGAACUCUGGCCCAAGGCUCCCUGACUGACUCCUUCCCUGAUCUUCUCAGCUUAGCAGCUGAAGACUGACACUGCCUGAUUGCCUCAGAAGCCUACAGGACCAUCACAGAUGCCCUAGAUAACUCUCACAGUGGAGGAAAAACAAUGCAUUCUGAGAAACAGAAUAAUAACGUGGAACAACUGCUUCUUCCUGCCAAAACUUUAUUUGAAGUUUGUUAAAAAAAAAAAAGUUAAGACAAACAAUUAUAAUGACUUUUCAUUAGCAAAAAGCUCUACUUUAAAAAUAAAACUCUAGGACAACUUUUUUCAGAUUCAGCAUACAGGUGAAAUUCAAUUUAUAACUCUCUGAAAACCUGUUGGAGCACUUUCCUGUUUCUUUUCUCAUUUUAUAUCACAUUCUGUGCUAUUUUUAAAGAAACUCAAUGUGCCAAGUGGAAAAUGUUUUUACAUGCUAUGAAAGAUAAAAAGUGCUUUUUCCCCCAAGGAUGUUUUACACAUUAACCUGUUUUCCUUUGCUUUCUAUUUUUCACAUGCCCCUUGCUCAUAUGUUUUGACUGGUUUUGCUCCAAUGAAGGCAAAGCCACGCCCAUCAGGAACUUCAAAGUCAUUGAAACUCACCAAAGACCAACUCCUAUGAUCAGCCCGUGGACAAUACCGGUUAUUUUCAAACCAGUCCUUAGUCACCAGGAUUCUUGACAAGCUCCUGCAAAGCAGACACAGGUUUGUCUUGGUGGAAGCUGCUGACUGUCAUCCCCUCAGUUUGAAACUCGAGGUCCUGCUUUGGUGUGGAAGCAGAGCUUUUCUUGGCAGGUGAAAGAUUGCUUAGCAAAGGAAACGGUGUCAAAUGGAAUAUGUCAGAACCUAUCUCAGAACAAGGUCACCCUGACCCUAAAUGAAUUCCACAAAAACUCAUUGGAGACACUGUUUUGCAAAUCUGGACUUCAACCAAAAAGAAAGAAAAGUGGACCACAGUAACCAAAGCUUUCCUCAUCCUUCAGGUUGAGGUCUGGAAAACAGAAUCAAAGCCUCCCUUCAAUUCCUCCUCACCACCUGCCUUACCCAGAUGUACAUUUUAAAUUUAAUCAUAAAUCACAUAAAACAGAGUAACACAGAUGAAUUCAAAUGAGGUGGAUUGCAUGCAUGGAAGGCCAGUGCAGUAUAGUUUACCAAUGAUUACAAGUAUACUUUCUGCUUAAUGUACAUCACAACCAUGUUAAGUGAGUUACUACUAACCACAUUUCAUGGGUGAUGAAAUGAGAUAUGCCAUUUUGGGGGCCUGCCUGUGAUAGGCCACACAGAAAAUAAAGAGGAAAAUGCAUCCUUGGGCUAGGCUCUUUCCGAUCUUUCUCUCAACAUUCUUUCGAUGGCAGCAGCUCAGAGACAAUGAGGACCUAUCAAUCUGCCUUUCUCCAAUUCUCCUACCCCAGUCACCUAAUGUUACCUAAACCCAAAAAGGAAAUAUAUACAACUUCAAACUCUUCUCUAAACACUAAUUCUCCUGGUCGAAGCUUCAGCAAGGAUGCCUUCCACCUCUCAAGGGCACCCCACCGACUGAUUCCUCUGUGUCCUGAAGAUCCCUAUUGUGGCUAGUGGAUAAUAACGCUCAGGAAUGUACUUCUACCCCAUGAACCAGAACACUGUAAAACUGUUGUUCACAUUUAUCCAAUAAAAUCCAGACAAUACAUCUGGUUCUUUUUAUAUUUUUAAUAGUGGAAAUGUGUUUGUGAUUUAAAAACUUAGUUUCUGUCAAAAGAAGUAUAAUACAUAGUAUUCAACAGUUUCAGGAUCUCUUGUCAAAAGAGAUAAUUGCAGAACUUUAACAGACUAACAUGGUACUAUAUAGAAAAAUGACCUCUAAAAUAUAACACAUGGUUUUAGCUUCUAGGGAUGAUAUCUGAAAGUUAAUCCGACAUUUAUAACCAACUGACCAGGAUGUUCAAAAACUCAUGGCCCUAAGGCGUCUAGGAGACAAUUAAGAAGAAUGGACAUUACUCACAAUGGGAACAAUUCCCAGCUUUGCAGAGGAACACAGAUUUGGGGGGCUUUGCAGCCGUCCCUCAUAAUGGGAACAAUUCAUAUUUUCUUCCCUUAGAGAAUUAAGACUGAUGUUUUCCAUAAUGAAUAGUUUAUAAAGAUAAUACAAAGGAACUUUGUGGGUCGGCCGCGGUGGCUCACGGCCUGUAAGGAGGCUGAGGCAGGAGAAUCACUUGAACCCGGGAAGUGAAGGUUGCAGUGAGCCAAGAUGGUGCCAUUGCACUCCAUCAAGAGCGAAACUCCAUUUCAAAAAAAAAAAAAAAAACGAGGGAACUUUGCGAAAGUGUGGUUAGAAAACUAGAGUUGGAUAGUUAGGCUUAUUUUAAGAAGUUUAAAUAUUAUUUAGAAGAGAAAAAGAAACUACUUCUUAUCCCUGACUCAUCCACUCUUUCUCAUUUUCAUGUUUUUGCCUGACGUUGUUGCUCAUCAAUUUUGACUUAAGAAAAUUCUAGCAACAUUUAUAGAUUUUGCCAAAAUUCAGCUUCUUCCCAAAUCAAUCUAUAAGAAGGCUCUUCCUUAAACAUAAUUUUUAUAUCUAUGAACUGCACUAGCAUUUACUAUAUAUUUUUAUCACUCUCACCAUUACUGGAUAAUAAAUAAAAGCUCAUUAAAAGAGUUAACAAAACAUAUUUAUUUUAGGCAUCCUGAAAAAAAGAUUCAAUUUUAUUAUCAUUUCUACAAUAAGUAUUGAAGAAAGGAGAAUUUAAAUUACUUCAUAUACCUGAUAAAGGAAAACAUAUGCAA